CUUAACUAUUUUUAAGUGUAUAGUUCAGCAGCAUUAAGUACUUUCACAUUACCUUAUAACCAUCAUCAGCAUUCAUCUUCAGAAACUUUCAUGUUCCCAAAUCGAAACUUCUAUUGAUUUAACAAUAAUUCCCCAUUCCCUCUCCCCCUUCAGCUCUGGCAACCACCAUUCUGCUUUUUGUCUCUGUGAACUCAUGGCUGUAGAUACCUCACAUAAGUUAAAUCAUAAGUUCUUUUGUGACCAGUUUAUUUCACAUAACAUAAUGUUUUCAUGGUUCUUUGACGUUGUAAUGUAUGUCACAAUUUCCUUCCUUUUUAAAACUGGAUAGUAUUCCUCUGUGUUCAUGUGUGUGUGUGUGUGUGUGUGUGUGUACAAAUGCCACAUUUUGUUUGUCUACCCAUUUAUCAGUGGACACUGGAUUGCCUCUACCUUUUGUCUAUUAUGAAUUAUGCUGCUAUGAAUAUGUACAUAUAAGUAUCUACCUGAGUUUUUGCUUUCAGUACUUUUGGAUAUGUGACCAGAAGUCAAAUUGCUGGAUAAUGGUAAUUCCAUGUUUAAUUUUCUGAGGAACUGCCAUAUCAUUUUCCACAGUGGUUUCACAAUGUUUUUUUUUUUUUUCUUUUUAACUCAGUUUGUACAAUGUUUGGCAGAGUCUAAGUGUGCACAGCAUGAAUAUGACAGAAAAUAAUGCAAAGUUCAGAGUAAAUAAUUUGCUGAGUGAUUCAGCAAGACAGCUAUUGAAUCAAAACAACCUUCCCUACACACACACCCUUGCCUGGCUGCAUACUUUAAUGUACACACUUUGAAAUGAGUGUAUAGUUGGAGAUAAUCCCUUUGAGAAUCAUGAGUUAAUGCAUUUGGAUUCCAUAUGGGUCAGAUCCUCUUGUAAAAUUUGGACCUUUUUCCAUGAAAUUCCACAUUUAAAGAAACCCAGAAGGCUUGCCAGAGGUUCAAAAGGGGACAGAACUACAAAGGUGACCCACAGAUAUGGGGAUUAGGACUUGUGAGUGAAGAUGAACCAAAAAAUCCUGAUACAGAUUAUGUGAACUCUGAUUGGGGCCCUACUCCAUUUUCUCCAUUCCAUUCCCUCACCUUUGCAGUAUAGCAC
This 1108-nucleotide long non-coding RNA is filed under the name Marmota monax (woodchuck). The record is from RNAcentral. Lineage: Eukaryota; Metazoa; Chordata; Mammalia; Rodentia; Sciuridae.